GACGAACGCUGGCGGCGUGCCUAAUACAUGCAAGUCGAGCGGAGUUAUUCCUUCGGGAAUGACUUAGCGGCGGACGGGUGAGUAACACGUAGGUAACCUGCCUGCAAGCCCGGGAUAACAUUCGGAAACGAAUGCUAAUACCGGAUACGCGAUUUGAUCGCAUGAUCGAAUCGGGAAAGAUGGAGCAAUCUAUCACUUGCAGAUGGACCUGCGGCGCAUUAGCUAGUUGGUGAGGUAACGGCUCACCAAGGCGACGAUGCGUAGCCGACCUGAGAGGGUGAUCGGCCACACUGGGACUGAGACACGGCCCAGACUCCUACGGGAGGCAGCAGUAGGGAAUCUUCCGCAAUGGACGAAAGUCUGACGGAGCAACGCCGCGUGAGUGAAGAAGGUUUUCGGAUCGUAAAGCUCUGUUGCCAGGGAAGAACAGACUGGAGAGUAACUGCUCUAGUUGUGACGGUACCUGAGAAGAAAGCCCCGGCUAACUACGUGCCAGCCGCCGCCGUAAAAC
RNAcentral lists this ribosomal RNA (511 nucleotides) under uncultured bacterium. Its description in RNAcentral is "bacterial SSU rRNA". It matches the Rfam family "Bacterial small subunit ribosomal RNA", at positions 28 to 526 of the family's 1533-position model. The record is from RNAcentral.